AUCACCAAACUGUUUUGAAAGAUAAAAGUACUUCCUGAAUAUGUGGAUGGUGAGCCACGUGAAUGGAAGACAUGGAGAUAUGGACUGUUAACACCUUGUCAAACAUUUAUUGUCCCUUCCACCUCUAAACUUCUGUGAUAAUAGGUGAACAGGACCCACGUGGUGCAGAAUACUGCGAUACACACUGCGGAAUAAUUCAGUGCAGAACAACACGUGGAUUGCUCAGUACAACUUGUUCAUCACAUCCUCCUGUUCACUGAAGAAUUAUGGAAAUAUUCUCUGAGCUGCUUUCCUCCCUGCCCAACGAGUCAUCUCUGUGUGAAAGGCCAAGCUUAUAAAUCCUGAAGAAAGAGACAUUAUACAAAUGCAAGCUGUUGUCACAACAAUGAUAAGAAAUCAGGAGUCGAAAGAUGUGGAGUAAGGGGGAAUUUCAGAGAAACCACAAAACACAAAAUAGGAAACAGAGACAGGAGAAGAUUGCUAUGACAAAAUUGCAGAAGGUGAAAUCUUUGGCAGCCUCUUAUUUCUCUGGAGAAUAUGAUAUUGUCAGGCUGAGGUGGAAGAAUCACAUGGUCAUACUGUUGAAGAGGUCUUGAAACAUUGGGCUUUCCUCUACAAGCGGAAGGAUAGCACUGGCAGCCAUCCACUGGCCCAGCAAUAUCCUGGAUUGAGACGAUAUCAUUUGCAUUACUUGCUGAAUGAAACAUAGUGAAAAUGACUGCAGAUAACCUCAACUAAGUCCAAGAUAUCAUUUUCAAAUCUGGACCAGCCCUUGCCAUCUAGACUGAACAGAGAUUCCAGUUUCCAGGAGAGUAGAUGGAGUAAUGAUAAAAGCACCUCCCAAAACUUUUGCCUUGUGAUUGGCAAAAAAGAGAGACAUCAAUAUGGACUGAAGUCACAGAAUGAGUUUCCUGGGAGAGAUGCUUCUUGAUAUGACCCUAGAAGCUCCAUCAAAACUUAUAAAAUCUUGGGAAGAGGAACUGUGGCCCAUCACUGAUCAUUUCAUCUAUUAAGUGACCACUUAUUGUCUUAUAAUAGGAGAUGUUCUGGAAACAUGCAUUGAAUCGAAGUGGCUUUGAGGAAGCAUGAAGAGAAAACAGGAUGGCAUCCUUUUGGCACCAUUUCUUAUGCUAUAAUAAGGAUUCCUUCUGUUUACACAUAAAACAGAAGAGUUUAAUCACCCCAGCAAUCUUUAACUUGGUAAUGAAGGCCAUAAAUUAAAUUUUAAGCAAAGUUAAAGAAGAUGAGAUGAAAUAUAAAACAAAAACAUCAUCAGAAUCUGCCCAGGAACAAUAUUCUUGACACCAAACCAUGACAUUAUGGGGCUCAGUUGUUUGUUUCUAGGGCAGCCCCUUGUUUUAUGUGCCAAAUAGCAUUUCCCUAAAUAAAACUGCAUGGAACAAAA
RNAcentral lists this long non-coding RNA (1405 nucleotides) under Homo sapiens (human). Its description in RNAcentral is "long intergenic non-protein coding RNA 1478". The record is from RNAcentral. Lineage: Eukaryota; Metazoa; Chordata; Mammalia; Primates; Hominidae.